UGCUAAAUCCACUGCCAGCUAAGGACAACCAUAGAUAAGGCAAGGUUGAUUUGAAUCACUUUCCACUAACUAAUGGAGAGCAUUUUUAUUUUACACAGGAUAAUCUUUGGCUGAUAAUCUAAUAUGCAAACUUAGUGUGCAAUUUAUGCAAUUAUGUCAUUAUUAAAGUGUAGCAUCCUAUAUCUUCUGCAGAUUACUAAAUAUGCCCCCUCAUCUAGCAAUCAGAGACCUGUAAAAAAGAUGAAAUUCGUUUCUAUAAGAUAGGUAGAAAAGUCAGUUAGCCUAUGUUUUUCAUCAAAUAGCCUUUGAUUUGAUGCUUAAUAUUAAUUGUUUUUAACUGUGUGAAUGUUAUGUUAUUUAGUGUGUCUAAACCACAAAUGGCUCCUGGCAAGACCUCAUACCAUUAACAAUGAGAUUAGCAGAGGAAAAUUCAAAAACACUCAUGGGGAUUGUUUGUACUGUUUUUUGUUGGGUAUGUUUUUGCUCUGUGGGAUAGAAGACAGUUUAAAACAGCACUGCAUGAAAAAAGAAGCGACUGACCGCAGGUUGCAAGUAUGCUUCAGUGAAGCAGAAGUUUCUACAGCUCCGUCUCAGCAAAGGGGAGGUUUCUAACGGUCCCCUGCUGACUUCAAAUGUGUUCACAGCCUGCACGCAGCAGCCACAGUGGAAACUUACCGUUAUUUUGAACCGUCUCCUCGGAUGAAGGUGAACUAUGUACACUUUCUAAAAAAGCGAACUUAACUUUUUGCAAAAGGUGUGGUAUGCAAAAUGUGUGCAUAACAAACUGUUGUGCAAGGAUCAACAUCUUAUGAUUCAUUAAAUUCAUGAAGGUGAUUUUUAAUUUGAUUCCACUUUUUUUUUUAUUAUUUACAGAUUACAGAGUGCUUUGCCCACUCCUGGCCGUAUGUUAGGCAACCCCAUCCCCUCUCAAGAACAUAUCAUUUUUGUUACAUUAUAAUAACACUUAAGAUAUUACAAUGAGUUAUUAUAUUUAAGGAGUAAUAUAAUAAAAGCAAACCUAAAAAUAUCAAAGUUCAAGAAAAUACUUCAUAAAACACAAAUAUUUUUGCUACAUUGAACUGAGAUAUCAUGUACUGCUGUCAAACCAUUUUCUAACAAGAACUCUAAAUGCUCGCACUGGUGUAUUAAAAAUUCACUCAGCAGGUGGGCAAAUGUUGUAAGGAUCAAGCAGAACAAGAGAACACAAAAGCAGUUCUAGUUUGUACAUAGGUGGACAUGGUGAUGGGCCCUCAGGAAUCUAGAUACUCUAUUAAUUAUCUCCCACAUUCUUAUUUUUCUACUCUAGCCAAACUCACAUAAGAUUGGAAAACAGAAUUUCUGGGGAAUCAAUAGCAUGUUCUUUCUCCAGCUGUGCCUGCUAAUACUAGAGAAAAGCUAACCUUACCUUUAGAAUUAAAAGAUCUAUGAAAGCAAAAAGACAGCUUAAUUAGGGACACAUUUUAGAGUCACCUGGGGACCAUUUUAAAUGCAUAGCUCCCAAGGCAGGCUAACUGAACAGAAUUUGUGGGGACGAAGCCCUAACAUGUAUAUACAUAUUAAAUAUAUUUUAUAU
This 1573-nucleotide long non-coding RNA is filed under the name Homo sapiens (human). Its description in RNAcentral is "HSALNT0308695". Lineage: Eukaryota; Metazoa; Chordata; Mammalia; Primates; Hominidae. The record is from RNAcentral.